GACGUAGGGUGCAAGCGUUGUCCGGAAUUAUUGGGCGUAAAGAGCUCGUAGGCGGUCUGUUGCGUCGGCUGUGAAAACCCGGGGCUCAACCCCGGGCCUGCAGCCGAUACGAGCAGACUAGAGUUCGGCAGGGGAGACUGGAAUUCCUGGUGUAGCGGUGAAAUGCGCAGAUAUCAGGAGGAACACCGGUGGCGAAGGCGGGUCUCUGGGCCGAAACUGACGCUGAGGAGCGAAAGCGUGGGGAGCAAACAGG
RNAcentral lists this ribosomal RNA (253 nucleotides) under uncultured bacterium. Its description in RNAcentral is "partial 16S ribosomal RNA". It matches the Rfam family "Bacterial small subunit ribosomal RNA", at positions 524 to 776 of the family's 1533-position model. The record is from RNAcentral.